UACGUAGGGUGCAAGCGUUAAUCGGAAUUACUGGGCGUAAAGCGUGCGCAGGCGGUUUUGUAAGUCUGGCGUGAAAUCCCCGGGCUCAACCUGGGAAUUGCGAUGGAGACUGCAAGGCUAGAAUCUGGCAGAGGGGGGUAGAAUUCCACGUGUAGCAGUGAAAUGCGUAGAGAUGUGGAGGAGCACCGAUGGCGAAGGCAGCCCCCUGGGUCAAGAUUGACGCUCAUGCACGAAAGCGUGGGGAGCAAACAGG
Molecule: ribosomal RNA, 253 nt
Filed under: uncultured bacterium
Lineage: Bacteria
Description: partial 16S ribosomal RNA
Rfam family: Bacterial small subunit ribosomal RNA
Source: RNAcentral